Molecule: long non-coding RNA, 931 nt
Organism: Clupea harengus (Atlantic herring)
Lineage: Eukaryota; Metazoa; Chordata; Actinopteri; Clupeiformes; Clupeidae
Source: Ensembl
GUGUCUCUGUGUGUGUGUGUGUGUGUGUGUGUGGUUGUUUAGGGUGUGUGUGUGACUGUGUGAGUGUGUUUAUAUGCAUAUGUGUGUGGUUGUUUAGGGUGUGUGUGUGUGUGUCUCUCUCUCUCUCUGUGUAUGUGUGUGUGUAUGUGUGUGUAUGUGUGUGUGUGUGUGUGUUUAUAUGCAUAUGUGUGUGGUUGUUUAGGGUGUGUGUGUGACUGUGUGUGUGUGUGUUUAUAUGCAUAUGUGUGUGGUUGUUUAGGGUGUGUGUGUGACUGUGUGUGUGUGUGUGUUUAUAUGCAUAUGUGUGUGGUUGUUUAGGGUGUAUGUGUGACUGUGUGUGUGUGUGUAUGUAUAUGUAAUUGUGUGAGUGUUUUUGUCUGUGCGAGUGUGUUAAGUUGUGUGUGUGUGUGUGUGUGUGUAUGUAAUUGUGUGAGUGUUUUUGUCUGUGCAAGUGUGUUAAGUUGUGUUUGUGUGUGUGUGUGUGUGUAUGUAAUUGUGUAAGUGUUUUUGUCUGUGCGAGUGUGUUAAGUUGUGUUUUUGUGUGUGUGUGUGUGUGUAUGUAAUUGUGUGAGUGUUUUUGUCUGUGCGAGUGUGUUAAGUUAUGUUUGUGUGUGUGUAUGUAAUUGUGUGAGUGUUUUUGUCUGUGCGAGUGUUUGUGUUUGUGUGUGUGUGUGUGUAUAUAAUUGUGUGAGUGUUUUUGUCUGUGCGAGUGUGUUAAGUUGUGUUUGUGUGUGUGUGUGUGUAUGUAAUUGUGUGAGUGUUUUUGUCUGCGCAAGUGUGUUAAGUUGUGUUUGUGUGUUUGUGUGUGUAUGUAAUUGUGUGAGUGUUUUUGUCUGUGCGAGUUUGUGUGCGUGUGUUUGUGUGUGUAUGUAAUUGUGUGAGUGUUUUUGUCUGUGCGAGUGUGUUAAGUUGUGUUUGUGUGUGUGUGUGU